GGCACUGUAGCUCAGUUGGUAGAGCACCUGCUUAACAUUAGGUUCGCAUGUUGUCCUCGGUUCGAGCCCGGGCAGAGUCA
This 80-nucleotide transfer RNA is filed under the name Cronartium quercuum f. sp. fusiforme G11. It matches the Rfam family "tRNA". From Rfam's summary of the family: Transfer RNA (tRNA) molecules are approximately 80 nucleotides in length. Their secondary structure includes four short double-helical elements and three loops (D, anti-codon, and T loops). The record is from Rfam by way of RNAcentral. Lineage: Eukaryota; Fungi; Basidiomycota; Pucciniomycetes; Pucciniales; Coleosporiaceae.